CCUACGGGAGGCAGCAGUGAGGAAUAUUGGUCAAUGGGCGCGAGCCUGAACCAGCCAAGUCGCGUGAGGGAAGACGGUCCUAUGGAUUGUAAACCUCUUUUGUCGGGGAGCAAAAGACGCCACGCGUGGCGUUCCGAGAGUACCCGAAGAAAAAGCAUCGGCUAACUCCGUGCCAGCAGCCGCGGUAAUACGGAGGAUGCGAGCGUUAUCCGGAUUUAUUGGGUUUAAGGGGUGCGCAGGCGGAAGGUCAAGUCAGCGGUAAAAUUGAGAGGCUCAACCUCUUCGAGCCGUUGAAACUGGUUGUCUUGAGUGAGCGAGAAGUAUGCGGAAUGCGUGGUGUAGCGGUGAAAUGCAUAGAUAUCACGCAGAACUCCGAUUGCGAAGGCAGCAUACCGGCGCUCAACUGACGCUCAUGCACGAAAGUGUGGGUAUCGAACAGGAUUAGAUACCCCAGUAGUC
RNAcentral lists this ribosomal RNA (459 nucleotides) under uncultured bacterium. RNAcentral's name for it is "partial 16S ribosomal RNA". It matches the Rfam family "Bacterial small subunit ribosomal RNA", at positions 338 to 795 of the family's 1533-position model. The record is from RNAcentral.